RNAcentral lists this ribosomal RNA (433 nucleotides) under uncultured bacterium. RNAcentral describes it as "partial 16S ribosomal RNA". It matches the Rfam family "Bacterial small subunit ribosomal RNA", at positions 29 to 507 of the family's 1533-position model. The record is from RNAcentral.
AACGAACGCUGGCGGCAUGCCUAACACAUGCAAGUCGAACGAGACCUUCGGGUCUAGUGGCGCACGGGUGCGUAACGCGUGGGAACCUGCCCUUAGGUUCGGAAUAACUCCCCGAAAGGGGUGCUAAUACCGGAUAAUGUCUUCGGACCAAAGAUUUAUCGCCUUUGGAUGGGCCCGCGUUGGAUUAGCUAGUUGGUAGGGUAAAAGCCUACCAAGGCGACGAUCCAUAGCUGGUCUGAGAGGAUGAUCAGCCACACUGGGACUGAGACACGGCCCAGACUCCUACGGGAGGCAGCAGUGGGGAAUAUUGGACAAUGGGCGAAAGCCUGAUCCAGCAAUGCCGCGUGAGUGAUGAAGGCCUUAGGGUUGUAAAGCUCUUUUACCCGGGAUGAUAAUGACAGUACCGGGAGAAUAAGCUCCUUUUAACUCCGUG